Molecule: ribosomal RNA, 253 nt
Filed under: uncultured bacterium
Lineage: Bacteria
Description: partial 16S ribosomal RNA
Rfam family: Bacterial small subunit ribosomal RNA
Source: RNAcentral
UACGGAGGAUGCAAGCGUUAUCCGGAAUGAUUGGGCGUAAAGCGUCCGCAGGUGGCAAUGUAAGUCUGCUGUUAAAGAGUCUAGCUCAACUAGAUAAAAGCAGUGGAAACUACAUAGCUAGAGUACGUUCGGGGCAGAGGGAAUUCCUGGUGUAGCGGUGAAAUGCGUAGAGAUCAGGAAGAACACCAGUGGCGAAGGCGCUCUGCUAGGCCGUAACUGACACUCAUGGACGAAAGCUAGGGGAGCGAAUGGG